This 85-nucleotide ribosomal RNA is filed under the name Lodderomyces parapsilosis. RNAcentral describes it as "Candida parapsilosis partial 18S ribosomal RNA". The record is from RNAcentral. Lineage: Eukaryota; Fungi; Ascomycota; Pichiomycetes; Serinales; Debaryomycetaceae.
ACACAGGUGUAAGAAAAAAUGCAGUUAAGCACUUUUCAUUCCUAAAAGGGAAACUUCCGUAGAGAGACCUGCGGAAGGAUCAUUA